UUUGUAUAAUGGGUCAGCGACUUAUAUUCAGUGGCAAGGUUAACCAUCUAGGGGAGCCGUAGGGAAACCGAGUCUUAACUGGGCGUUCAGUCUCUGGAUAUAGACCCGAAACCAGGUGAUCUAGCCAUGGGCAGGUUGAAGGUUGAGUAACAUCAACUGGAGGACCGAACCGACUAAUGUUGAAAAAUUAGCGGAUGACUUGUGGCUAGGGGUGAAAGGCCAAUCAAACCUGGAGAUAGCUGGUUCUCCCCGAAAGCUAUUUAGGUAGCGCCUCGGACGAAUACUACUGGGGGUAGAGCACUGUUAAGGCUAGGGGGUCAUCCCGACUUACCAACCCUUUGCAAACUCCGAAUACCAGUAAGUACUAUCCGGGAGACACACGGCGGGUGCUAACGUCCGUCGUGGAGAGGGAAACAACCCAGACCGCCAGCUAAGGUCCCAAAUUACUACUAAGUGGGAAACGAUGUGGGAAGGCUCAGACAGCCAGGAUGUUGGCUUAGAAGCAGCCAUCAUUUAAAGAAAGCGUAAUAGCUCACUGGUCGAGUCGGCCUGCGCGGAAGAUGUAACGGGGCUAAGUAGUAAACCGAAGCUGCGGCAAUAUACUUUUGUAUAUUGGGUAGGGGAGCGUUCUGUAAGCGGUUGAAGGUGUGUGGUAACGCAUGCUGGACGUAUCAGAAGUGCGAAUGCUGACAUGAGUAACGAUAAAGGGGGUGAAAAACCUCCUCGCCGGAAGACCAAGGGUUCCUGUCCAACGUUAAUCGGGGCAGGGUAAGUCGACCCCUAAGGCGAGGCCGAAAGGCGUAGUCGAUGGGAAACGGGUUAAUAUUCCCGUACUUCUUACAAUUGCGAUGGGGGGACGGAGAAGGCUAGGUGGGCCUGGCGACGGUUGUCCAGGUUCAAGUGCGUAGGCUUAAGAGUUAGGUAAAUCCGGCUCUUUCUAAGGCUGAGACACGACGUCGAGCACCUACGGGUGUGAAGUCAUUGAUGCCAUGCUUCCAGGAAAAGCCUCUAAGCUUCAGAUUGUAAGGAAUCGUACCCCAAACCGACACAGGUGGUCGGGUAGAGAAUACCAAGGCGCUUGAGAGAACUCGGGUGAAGGAACUAGGCAAAAUGGUACCGUAACUUCGGGAGAAGGUACGCUCUCGACGGUGAAGUCCCUCGCGGAUGGAGCUAUUGAGAGUCGCAGAUACCAGGUGGCUGCAACUGUUUAUUAAAAACACAGCACUGUGCAAAAUCGUAAGAUGACGUAUACGGUGUGACGCCUGCCCGGUGCCGGAAGGUUAAUUGAUGGGGUUAGACUUCGGUCGAAGCUCUUGAUCGAAGCCCCGGUAAACGGCGGCCGUAACUAUAACGGUCCUAAGGUAGCGAAAUUCCUUGUCGGGUAAGUUCCGACCUGCACGAAUGGCGUAAUGAUGGCCACGCUGUCUCCACCCGAGACUCAGUGAAAUUGAAAUCGCUGUGAAGAUGCAGUGUACCCGCGGCUAGACGGAAAGACCCCGUGAACCUUUACUACAGCUUGGCACUGAACAUUGACCCUACAUGUGUAGGAUAGGUGGGAGGCUUUGAAGCACGUACGCCAGUAUGUGUGGAGCCGUCCUUGAAAUACCACCCUUGUAGUGUUGAUGUUCUAACGUCGACCCCUUAUCGGGGUUGCGGACAGUGCCUGGUGGGUAGUUUGACUGGGGCGGUCUCCUCCCAAAGAGUAACGGAGGAGCACGAAGGUGGGCUAAUCACGGUUGGACAUCGUGAGGUUAGUGCAAUGGCAUAAGCCCGCUUGACUGCGAGAAUGACAAUUCGAGCAGGUGCGAAAGCAGGUCAUAGUGAUCCGGUGGUUCUGAAUGGAAGGGCCAUCGCUCAACGGAUAAAAGGUACUCCGGGGAUAACAGGCUGAUACCGCCCAAGAGUUCAUAUCGACGGCGGUGUUUGGCACCUCGAUGUCGGCUCAUCACAUCCUGGGGCUGAAGUCGGUCCCAAGGGUAUGGCUGUUCGCCAUUUAAAGUGGUACGCGAGCUGGGUUUAGAACGUCGUGAGACAGUUCGGUCCCUAUCUGCCGUGGGCGUUGGAAGAUUGAAGGGGGCUGCUCCUAGUACGAGAGGACCGGAGUGGACGAACCUCUGGUGUUCGGGUUGUGUCGCCAGACGCAUUGCCCGGUAGCUAAGUUCGGAAUCGAUAACCGCUGAAAGCAUCUAAGCGGGAAGCGAGCCCUGAGAUGAGUCUUCCCUGAUACUUUAAGUAUCCUAAAGGGUUGUCGGAGACUACGACGUUGAUAGGUCAGGUGUGUAAGUGCUGUGAGGCAUUGAGCUAACUGAUACUAAUUGCCCGUGAGGCUUAACCAU
This 2336-nucleotide ribosomal RNA is filed under the name Vibrio parahaemolyticus. RNAcentral describes it as "partial 23S ribosomal RNA". It matches the Rfam family "Bacterial large subunit ribosomal RNA", at positions 607 to 2925 of the family's 2925-position model. The record is from RNAcentral. Lineage: Bacteria; Pseudomonadati; Pseudomonadota; Gammaproteobacteria; Vibrionales; Vibrionaceae.